RNAcentral lists this long non-coding RNA (1639 nucleotides) under Olea europaea subsp. europaea. Lineage: Eukaryota; Viridiplantae; Streptophyta; Magnoliopsida; Lamiales; Oleaceae. The record is from RNAcentral.
AUCAACAUCUGGCAUCCAUCCUAAGGGAUCAACAUUUUUAUUUAUCAAACUAAGAACUAUUAUUAUGUUAUCAGAGAUCUCUAAAAUCUUAAGAUUGAGACAAAUGACGAAACGAAAACACGUUUUUUAAUGCAAUUCAAGACACCUUAAGCAAUUCACAACUCUGACAAAUCCCAGAUAAGAACAUUGUUAAGCAGGGAUUACAUUAACAUAGGUUUUGCCUUAUCCAAUUAUUAUCUACAAGGAAUAACCUUCUGAGUAUACUGAUUUCCUAAUUUCACAUGACCAGAAUUCAUUAAUAAUAUAAAACCUUUUAUUUUGACAUCAUAGAACCCACCACCCCAACAAUCAGGGUAGUGGGAUCGCCAAGAACAGCAGAAAUCACAAACUGUAAAGCAAAUCCAGCCAUUUCCCAACAUUUUUGAACUUUCCUCAGAAAUCUCAUAAAUUUAAUUCACCACCACUUCAGAAAUCUCACGCCACCGCACCUCGUACAACUCUCAGAUUGACUGACCUCGUUGCUUCACCUCGCAGAUUAACGCUGCUCGCACGCUACACCUUGCACAGAUUGAAGUCUCGCGUCGCCUCACCUCCCACAGCCGCUCCGGUGUGUGGUAAAGAGACGAUAGAGAUAAUAGAGAGAGACGAGAGAGGGAGAGGGAGAGGGAGAGGGAGGAGAUGGGUCUGUGUCUGGGUAGUGGGUAGAGUUUUUAAUUUUUGGUAAUUAGUUUAUUCAAAUAAGUAAUAAAAAAAUUCUGAUUUUAUAAUGUUAAACUUUUUCUCUGAUUUUAGAAUUCUUGAUUUUAAUGCUAGGGUUUUGUGUAAUUUCCACUUUUUAAAAUUAACCCACAAACACCAAUUUAAUCCUAGAAUGUGAAACCCAUUUGGCCAUUCCAUUCAAAAUUCCAAAUCCAGUAACCCACCUAAUCAUACAUUCAUACCUCUUAGAAUCUCAAAUCUCAAAUCUCAUUUUCUUAUUGAUUUUGGAAAUGCCCAAGCCUGAAGCCUCUGCAAGCCAAAUUAUAGAAAGAAAAUGGUAUUGGUGGCAACCACAUUCCGAGGUAUUGUCAUUUCUGAUUCAUCACGUUUCAUCACUUCAUCUCCGAUUUCUCACCGGAAUUUUGAGGUAUCGAUGUAUUGUCAUUUUAUGCACAAUAAUAAAAUGCUAUAUUUUGUUGUUUGUACGAAAUUAUGAAGUUGAAUUUCUAUUAGCAAAAAAAAAAAAAAAAAAAAAAACUGCUUGGAUAAGUCACAAUAGGAACAUUUUCGGUUUUUACCAAAUUAGUGUCGACUGAAUGGAAAUGGGUACUGAAGACUAGAAGAGACUUUGGAUUUUGGGUGAUAAAUUAGUGGGAAUUUAUUUAGAAAAAUAAAUUCUUGUAAACAAGUUUUGAAAUACAAAUUAUACAAUUUAUUUAUACCUCUGCAUCUCUUCCUUAAUCUUGUAGAGAAGGUGUUUGUUGAAAUGACAGAUCAUUCUCAGAUUCUCUUAUUGCUUCUACACAUUAUUGUUUUUGUUAUUCAGUUUGAGAAUUGAGAUUGAGAUUCAUAUCUAAAGGGUUAGCCGGUUAGGUUAUUUAUGGUAUCAAUUUUGAUUAGGUUUAGAAUAAUAGUUUUGUAAGUAUAGUAUAUUUUACGU